AAAAAAAAAAAAAAAUACAAACAUACUAAUUACACGCCUAACACCCAUAACGAAAACUUGCAAGAACAAAAUCCUUCUUAUUGAUAUGUAAUGGAUAAUCAUGUAAUUAUCAAGAAGAAUUUCUACCAAAGGUAAUAUAAUAUUUUUUUUUUUCCCGCAAAUUGUUAAACGUUUCCAAAGACGAUGUGCGAGACCUCCCCACUUCUACCACCGUCCCAGCUUUUGGACGAGGUGAUUUUCUAUUUCCAUUCUCUUCUUCAUCAAUAAAGCAUAUUUAGAAGUCAAUUCAUGAUUCCCAGCACUAACUGAAAGCUUGCAGCUGAAAGCUGACUUCUCCAACUUGUCCUUGUAUAAGCAUGCAAUUGGCACAAAACUACCCUUUUUGUUGCACAGCCAACCAUGAGCAGCUCUUAAUGCAGCUCCCAGGGACGCAGAAUCUGCCAAGCAAGAAACAGGGCUUCUUUAUCAGAUAAUACUGUGGAGGAGCUUCGUAGAGCAAAACAAAUCCAUUUGAAGAAUUGAACAGCAAAACAAUAAAAAAAUGAUUUGGACCCUGAAAAGUUCCUGAAUUUCUUUUCAGACCACAUAUUUGGCAUAGUGGAAAAUUAGUUCCAACAUGAUACUGCAUACCAGGUCUUUGAACAGUAUAGACAUCACAGCCAAAUAUUGAUGCUACUGAAUUCAAAAUGCUAUGAUUUGCUGAUGCUCCACCAGUGGCUAUUAUUCGUUUUGGAGGGGAGGGCAUGCCAAAUCUUUCAGCAUGAGCUCGCAUUGAGAGGAACUGGCCCUCAAUCAAUGCUCGGACCUCAGAAGCAGGAUCAAAUUCCUGCACCUCUUGUUCAUUCACUCCCUCCAGACUGUCACCCUUAAAAUUUUGGAGUUCGUAGCGAUGGAGGCCAACUUGGUUGCAGAAAUAAUUACUAGUUAAUUUGAGGCUCUUUUUACACAAUAAAUGGACAAAAUAAAUACAAAAGGAUACAAAAAGGGACACGCAGACAUAAUGGUUAUAGCAAAUUACUAUAGGACAUAUAAAAUAUGAAAGGUGUGAAAUAGUUCCUUUAUAUACUCAGAUUGAACAGGCUAUAUAUUAACUCCUCUGUUGGCCUAUGUUUUUGUAUGAAACAGAAAUCCCUAAUUGACGAGUUCCAGUGCCACGCAUAUAUGCUGCGGUGGAUAAAUUGAGGCAGUGAAGUCAGGCAGAAAGAAGUUGAAAUUCAGAAAGUCAAUGCAAUGCAAAUGCCUGGCCUCAAUACUUGAAAUGGAAAAAGAAAUUAUUAAAUACAAUAGGGUAAAAAAUCCAAGGACUGACCUGGAAGAGGAGGAAGAAUUUCA
Molecule: unclassified non-coding RNA, 1332 nt
Filed under: Hevea brasiliensis (rubber tree)
Lineage: Eukaryota; Viridiplantae; Streptophyta; Magnoliopsida; Malpighiales; Euphorbiaceae
Source: RNAcentral